Molecule: long non-coding RNA, 1613 nt
Organism: Esox lucius (northern pike)
Lineage: Eukaryota; Metazoa; Chordata; Actinopteri; Esociformes; Esocidae
Source: Ensembl
CUUUUUAAUAUUCAAAUAACCUAAAAUAGAAAUGUUGUUGCCAGAAGUAAAGUAGUAUAGGUGAAAAAAGUAGAAGGAAGUAAUUGGAUGUAAAUUGAAUUAUAAAUGUAUCAACAGAGGUAAAGUUGGUUUGACAUUGGAUAUUGGAUAUUCAACGGACAUUUGAAAACCCAAGAUCAGGUCUUGUUUUCCCGGACUCAGCCACACUAUAAUCUGGUGUGGGAAAUGACAUACACAGUGGUCUGCUUAUGGUUAGGUGCGAGUAUAACGAGUGCGUAAAAGAGAGGCAAAAAGGGAAGGUGGACAGCACUGGUGAGGUGUACCGCCGGAGAGGAAGGGGUGCCACGUGGAGCAGACGUUACAUUAUCCCCCCCCCCCAGGCGCAGCUCCUGGCGCUGCCACCUGAGGACCCCGAGGAUGAGGUGCAAGCCGGUACGAACGGCGAGCAUGGAACUCCGAUGUCAGGGAGGGGUCGCAGAUGUCCACCGCCCGGACCCAGCUGCGCUCCUCAGGGCCGUAACCCGCCCAGUCCACCAGGUACUGGACCUGGCCCUGCCGCAGCCGGGAGUCACACGAUACGUCGGACCCCCAACCACCUCCACUGUGGGUGGAGGCGCCCCUGCAGGACUGAAUCCCCCCAGCGGACCAGGAAUCACCGACCCAAACAGAGAGACAUAGAAAGUUGGUGAGAGGUUUGUGUAUGGUGGAGUGAGCAGGAGUGUGUAUGAGAUGUCGUUUACCUUCCGGAGAACAUGAAACAGCCUCACAUAGCUUAUGCCUGACGGAGAGGAAGAUCCCUAAUGGACAGCCAUUCCUUGUCCACCUGGGUGGUACUCUGGGGCGUCCCUCCACUGCUUAUCCUCCUGCACCUUAUGACAUCCUACAGCCUCUUGCAGGCAGACAUGGGUGGCGGACCAGACCUCGUCUGACGUCCUGAACCACUCCUUCACAGCCUGGAUGUCAAUGGAACCCCCCACCCAGAGGCACAGCGGAGGCUGAAACCCGUGCACCACCUGGAAGGGGGUCAGACCUGUGGAGGAAUGGCACAGGGAGUUUUGAGCAUAUUCCACCCAGGGGAGAAAGCAGGUCCACUCACCUGGAUGGUCCAUACAAUAGGACUGGAGGAACCUUCCCAGCUCUUGCCUGGCCGUUAGCCUGCGGGUGAUACCUGGAUGUGAAGCUGACAACAACCCCCAACCUGGACAUGAAAACCUUCCAGACAUGAGAAGCAAACUGGGGGCCGCGGAAUGUCACAAUGUCCUCUUGAACAUGUUAUGGAAAUUUCUUGAACUGAUGUAUUCUUACUGAUUAAAGUAUUGAGUCCCCAUGUUUAGGUAAGAAAAGGAAUGUGGCAUUGGGGGAUCUGUUAUUGGUUUAAGGGGCAUUACUGACUAGUAUCAGCAGAUUAUAGGGUUACUCGUAAAUCUGCCCAUCUGUAUAACCCAUCAGAGAAUCGGUUGUUUGUCCAGAUGCUGUAUGUCCUUUUCAGAGUUGAAAAGGUUUCCCAUGUGGGCGAGGACUGCCUGCCCCUUGGGAGAAACCUAGGUAGUGAUAGAACAAAGGGAAUGUGUUUUAUUGAGUUAGGACAGCUGUGCAGCAUCUUACCACACCCC